RNAcentral lists this ribosomal RNA (197 nucleotides) under uncultured bacterium. Its description in RNAcentral is "partial 16S ribosomal RNA". It matches the Rfam family "Bacterial small subunit ribosomal RNA", at positions 328 to 539 of the family's 1533-position model. The record is from RNAcentral.
ACGCUCGACACCUACGGAGGCAGCAGUGGGGAAUAUUGCACAAUGGGGGAAACCCUGAUGCAGCGACGCCGCGUGAGUGAAGAAGUAUUUCGGUAUGUAAAGCUCUAUCAGCAGGGAAGAGGAUGACGGUACCUGAGUAAGAAGCCCCGGCUAACUACGUGCUAGCAGCCGCGGUAAUCUGAGCGGGCUGGCAAGGC